CUGCGGCCUAUCAGCUUGUUGGUGAGGUAAUGGCCCACCAAGGCGAUUACAGGUACGGGCUCUGAGAGGAGAAGCCCGGAGAUGGGUACUGAGACACGGACCCAGGCCCUAUGGGGCGCAGCAGGCGAGAAAACUUUGCAAUGUGCGAAAGCACGACAAGGUUAGUCCGAGUGAUUUCUGCUAAAGAGAUCUUUUGCAAGUCGUAAAACCACUAGUGAAUAAGGGGUGGGCAAGUUCUGGUGUCAGCCGCCGCGGUAAAACCAGCACCUCAAGUGGUCAGGAGGAUUAUUGGGCCUAAAGCAUCCGUAGCCGGCUUUGUUAGUUUUCGGUUAAAUCUAUACGCUCAACGUAUUGGCUGUCGAAAAUACUGCAAAGCUAGGGAGUGGGAGAGGUAAACGGUACUCAAUAGGAAGGGGUAAAAUCCUUUGAUCUAUUGAUGACCACCUAUGGCGAAGGCGGUUUACCAGAACACGU
RNAcentral lists this ribosomal RNA (474 nucleotides) under uncultured Nitrososphaerota archaeon. RNAcentral's name for it is "bacterial SSU rRNA". It matches the Rfam family "Archaeal small subunit ribosomal RNA", at positions 215 to 690 of the family's 1478-position model. The record is from RNAcentral. Lineage: Archaea; Thermoproteati; Nitrososphaerota.